This 253-nucleotide ribosomal RNA is filed under the name uncultured bacterium. RNAcentral describes it as "partial 16S ribosomal RNA". It matches the Rfam family "Bacterial small subunit ribosomal RNA", at positions 524 to 776 of the family's 1533-position model. The record is from RNAcentral.
UACGAAGGGAGCUAGCGUUGUUCGGAAUCACUGGGUUUAAAGGGUGCGUAGGUGGGCUAGUAAGUCCGUGGUGAAAUCCCCGAGCUUAACUCGGGAACUGCCGUGGAUACUAUUAGUCUUGAAUAUCGUGGAGGUAAGCGGAAUAUGUCAUGUAGCGGUGAAAUGCUUAGAUAUGACAUAGAACACCGAUAGCGGAGGCAGCUUACUACGCGAUUAUUGACACUGAGGCACGAAAGCGUGGGGAUCAAACAGG